RNAcentral lists this long non-coding RNA (571 nucleotides) under Homarus americanus (American lobster). RNAcentral describes it as "uncharacterized LOC121875670". The record is from RNAcentral. Lineage: Eukaryota; Metazoa; Arthropoda; Malacostraca; Decapoda; Nephropidae.
CCGAAAUUUCCUCCGACUCCUCGACUCCGACUCCGACUCCACAGCCCUGCUAAAGACAAAAAGUAAUUGCAGACUUCAACAAUUAUAAUCUUUACAUUCUAUUCUCUGUACCAUAUAACUCAUUUCCCAUACUGAGAUAUGUUUUGACAACGCUAAAGCAAUACUAUAAUAAUGAUUAACAUGUUUGUGUUACAGGGGCGCGGGUGAGAGUGACGGCACUAUCUAUGGGGACUAUGACGAGGCAGCAUGGCACGGUCAGGAGGGACACCCCCCAUCAACUACCCGCUCUGUGCCUUCACCGCUCACCAGGGGCGCGGGUGAGAGUGACGGCACUAUCUAUGGGGACUAUGACGAGGCAGCAUGGCACGGUCAGGAGGGACACCCCCCAUCAACUACCCGCUCUGUGCCUUCACCGCUCACCAGGUUAUGGACGAGUACCGCAAAUACGUCACGAACAACGAAACUUUUGUAUAGACAACCGAUAAAUGUAUAAAAAAUAUAUGAUUUGACGUUGAUGAAUACCAUGAAAUGUGAUUAAUUACAUGGACAAUAAAGCCUGUAAUAUACUAUA